This is a long non-coding RNA of Mugil cephalus (flathead mullet), 983 nucleotides long. RefSeq lists it as uncharacterized. Lineage: Eukaryota; Metazoa; Chordata; Actinopteri; Mugiliformes; Mugilidae. The transcript has 3 exons. The record is from RefSeq and is a predicted model, not a curated record.
CUGAAUCCCUCAGGGUGACUACCUUCCUGUGUAAAAAAUCAAGAGCGUAUUGUAGUUUCACAAAGCAUGACUCAGUAAUUUGUAGUCACUAGACACCAGACUAUUUUUGUUUGGUGAUUUGGGUCACAGUUCCAUCUGAUUAACUGAUUUCAACUGCAAUAACAUUUCAAAGAAUAUUUUUUUAAUCCAGUUCUUUAUGAGCUUACAUCUGUUAGCUUCCGCUUGUUUCUCCACUGUUCCUGGCCCUCGCACCUUCAGAAGAAAAAUCUGUCUCCAAUUUGUCUCCAACAGUGUUGCAGAAGAUGUUCUGCAUGAAAAGGGAUGUAUACGGGAGUAUGCGGAAAGAGGAUACAGCUGGCAAAGCUGCCGUGUGCCCGCAAGGAGCUGCAAGACACAAGCACACCGCGUACGGCCGUUUUCACGAGUCUGCCUGAUUUGGUGUGACUUGGUCUUUCGUAUGCUAAUCAUGCUGUACAAAGCGAGAGGUGGUGUAGUCCAUAGCCACGAAGAUGAUCUAUAGAAAACCACUACCAUGGACCUCAUGUCAGAUGAAGCCAUCUCAUCACCAGGAGGUUGUUUUUAUUAUUAAUGCAUGUUUUUAUACAUUUUUUUUUUUUUUUAUAAUGCACUGUUGUGACUUGUAAGCAGAAAAUAAACAUUUCUGCUGUGAUAGUGCGUCUUAAUUGUGAUAUGGGACAUGAUAAUGACAAUUAUACAUAUUAUGUAAAUGUUACAGGUCCUGGGUGAGGGUACAAGUGGCAGAUUGGUGUUUACUGUUUUUCAGGAGAAAUGGAGAAUACGAGUCAUUUAGCUGAGUGAGGUGGGGCUUCCUCAUCACAGAAAAAGACCCUCCAGCCAAACCAACGCUCCACUACUCCACCUACUGGUCCAACUGUGCUACUGCAUUAAAAUGUUAAGUGGACAAGUAGCUAAUAUUGCACAAAAAUAAAAUAUAAUAAAAAAAAAAAAAACAAUGUGACCUC